AGAGUUUGAUCCUGGCUCAGGAUGAACGCUGGCGGCGUGCCUAAUACAUGCAAGUCGAGCGGAAAGGCCUCUUCGGAGGUACUCGAGCGGCGGACGGCAGAGUAACGCGUAGGAGCAUACCCCAAACUGAGGGAUAACUGCCCGAAAGGGUGGCUAAUACCGCAUGUGAUCUUCGGAUUAAAGCUUCGGCGGUUUGGGAAUGGCCUGCGUUCGAUUAGCUAGUUGGUGAGGUAAAGGCUCACCAAGGCGACGAUCGAUAACUGGUCUGAGAGGAUGAUCAGUCUGACUGGAACUGAGACACGGUCCAGACUCCUACGGGAGGCAGCAGUAGGGAAUUUUCCACAAUGGGCGAAAGCCUGAUGGAGCAACGCCGCGUGCAGGAUGAAGGCCCUUGGGUCGUAAACUGCUUUUAUGUGAGAAGAAUAUGACGGUAACACAUGAAUAAGGGUCGGCUAACUACGUG
Molecule: ribosomal RNA, 463 nt
Filed under: uncultured bacterium
Lineage: Bacteria
Description: bacterial SSU rRNA
Rfam family: Bacterial small subunit ribosomal RNA
Source: RNAcentral